Molecule: ribosomal RNA, 338 nt
Filed under: Hypsugo savii (Savi's pipistrelle)
Lineage: Eukaryota; Metazoa; Chordata; Mammalia; Chiroptera; Vespertilionidae
Description: partial large subunit ribosomal RNA
Rfam family: Bacterial large subunit ribosomal RNA
Source: RNAcentral
AAUAUACUCAGAACCUGUAUAAUAUCUCAACAAGAAAUAAUCUUACUCCAUAUGAGUUAACAAUUUAGGUUGGGGUGACCUCGGAAUAAAAACUAACCUCCGAGAAAACUUAUUGAGACCAACAAGUCAAAAUAUAUUACACUAAAUUGAUCCGCUACUUAGCGACCAACGAAACAAGUUACCCUAGGGAUAACAGCGCAAUCCUAUUAAAGAGUUCAUAUCGACAAUUAGGGUUUACGACCUCGAUGUUGGAUCAGGACAUCGCAAUGGUGCAGCAGCUAUUAAUGUGUUCGUUUGUUCAACGAUUAAAGUCCUACGUGAUCUGAGUUCAGACCGAA